RNAcentral lists this ribosomal RNA (162 nucleotides) under uncultured bacterium. RNAcentral describes it as "partial 16S ribosomal RNA". It matches the Rfam family "Bacterial small subunit ribosomal RNA", at positions 339 to 518 of the family's 1533-position model. The record is from RNAcentral.
CUACGGGAGGCAGCAGUGGGGAAUAUUGCACAAUGGGGGAAACCCUGAUGCAGCGACGCCGCGUGAGUGAAGAAGUAUUUCGGUAUGUAAAGCUCUAUCAGCAGGGAAGAAAAUGACGGUACCUGACUAAGAAGCCCCGGCUAACUACGUGCCAGCAGCCGC